This 254-nucleotide ribosomal RNA is filed under the name uncultured bacterium. RNAcentral's name for it is "partial 16S ribosomal RNA". It matches the Rfam family "Bacterial small subunit ribosomal RNA", at positions 524 to 776 of the family's 1533-position model. The record is from RNAcentral.
UACGUAGGGGGCUAGCGUUGUCCGGAAUCAUUGGGCGUAAAGCGCGUGUAGGCGGUCCGGUAAGUCCGCUGUGAAAGUCGGGGGCUCAACCCUCGGAUGCCGGUGGAUACUGUCGGGCUUGAGUACGGAAGAGGCGAGUGGAAUUCCUGGUGUAGCGGUGAAAUGCGCAGAUAGUCAGGAGGAACACCAAUUGCGAAGGCAGCUCGCUGGGACGUUACUGACGCUGAGACGCGAAAGCGUGGGGAGCAAACAGG